Non-coding RNA from Rattus norvegicus (Norway rat), 238 nucleotides. The record is from RefSeq and is a predicted model, not a curated record. NCBI's taxonomy places the organism in Eukaryota, Metazoa, Chordata, Mammalia, Rodentia, Muridae.
GAUGAAGUCACUGAGAACUGCCAUGGCCUACCUGCUGAACAGCUUUCCUUACAUUGACCAGAUUUGAAGGUGGCCUCUCCAGGAGUGUCUCCUGUGACACAGUAGAAACCUUUACAUGCUACAUCUCUCUAAAGGACCAUUUUCUUCUUGACAAAAAGAAUAAGGCUAUGAGCUCUCAGCAAAACAACUGUGCCCUGUCCAUCACUUGGUUUGGGAAUAAAAAAAAUAAUGAUAUAAA